CAGCAGCCGCGGUAAAACAGAGGGUGCGAGCGUUAAUCGGAUUUACUGGGCGUAAAGCGUGCGUAGGCGGCUUCUUAAGUCGGAUGUGAAAUCCCUGAGCUUAACUUAGGAAUUGCAUUCGAUACUGGGAAGCUAGAGUAUGGGAGAGGAUGGUAGAAUUCCAGGUGUAGCGGUGAAAUGCGUAGAGAUCUGGAGGAAUACCGAUGGCGAAGGCAGCCAUCUGGCCUAAUACUGACGCUGAGGUACGAAAGCAUGGGGAGCAAACAGGAUUAGAUACCCCAGUAGUCCAUGUCUCUUAUAC
This 301-nucleotide ribosomal RNA is filed under the name uncultured bacterium. RNAcentral describes it as "partial 16S ribosomal RNA". It matches the Rfam family "Bacterial small subunit ribosomal RNA", at positions 509 to 807 of the family's 1533-position model. The record is from RNAcentral.